Drosophila busckii is the source of this 178-nucleotide long non-coding RNA. RefSeq lists it as uncharacterized. The transcript has 3 exons. The record is from RefSeq and is a predicted model, not a curated record. Lineage: Eukaryota; Metazoa; Arthropoda; Insecta; Diptera; Drosophilidae.
CGCGAGCUACAAAAGAUAAGAGCGGAACAACCGUCUGACGCCACAGACGCCAACACUGACUGUUGUCGGACGUGACGUUUAUUGCAGGUGCCGACGGCAGCGUCAGAAUCAGCUGAUCCUCGUUGCAGUAGCCUCGUUGGCCACAGCUAGCAGCAUUUCUAUGAACGUUGCAUCAAAC